Molecule: ribosomal RNA, 383 nt
Filed under: uncultured myxomycete
Lineage: Eukaryota; Evosea; Eumycetozoa
Description: SSU rRNA
Rfam family: Eukaryotic small subunit ribosomal RNA
Source: RNAcentral
UCUCUCUGAAUCUGCGAACGGCUCCGCAUACCAGUUGUAAACUAUAGCAAGCGCAGCAGGCUCAUCCGUGGGCCUGCAAAUUAUAUGGAUAACCGUGGUAAUUCUGAGGCUAAUACAUGCUAAAGCCAGGUCACGUCCGAAUGGGGGCUUGCUCCCGGGACGUGAUCGGGCGUGUGCCAAAACCCGAUAUCACGACAGAACACACGUUCAGACCAUCAUCCAAGGGAUGGUGCCGGUCACCCUCCGGGGCGGACAGCAUCAUCCUGGUGGCUCCUGUUAUGUGCUUCUGACCUAUCAACUAGAUUGCAGCGCAACGGACAUGCUAUGGUUGCAACGGGUACAGAGGAUUAGGGUUCGAUCCUGGAGAGUGGGCCUGAGAGAUU